Molecule: non-coding RNA, 1414 nt
Organism: Macaca mulatta (Rhesus monkey)
Lineage: Eukaryota; Metazoa; Chordata; Mammalia; Primates; Cercopithecidae
Source: RefSeq, a predicted model, not a curated record
GAGACCCGGGAAGCCUAGGGAACGCUGUGACUGAACCGGACCUGGGUCCCCUCAGUCAGCCCGAGGCUUAGCACUGGAAGUCCUGCAUCCCGGGAAACCCCUCAAUCCUGGGCAAACCAGGAUGUCUAGUCACACUGCAUGCUAGUCAUCUGCGUCUAGAUAGAACAUAAGCUCCAUGACAGCAAGCAACUCCUUUGUUGUAUACUUUAAUGCUAGAACAGUCCCAGCAGAUCAACUGAUAAGAAAGCAGACACAGCCAAGAAGAUGCAACCAGGAUCAGAACCCAGUCUUUCCAGUCUCAAUCCACCAGCCUCCAACGCCCGUUCUCUUCCAGAUGAAACAAGUUCUUCUAUGGAAGUUAGAUGAAAAAUUUUCCUUUGGCUAGCAAUAAGUGAAAUAAAUGCACACAAUUUCUUGUCACACUACUGGCAAAGCUGCUAUGUCAGAUUUGACAUGUAAAGUAUUACAAUGACAAAGGCUUUCCUCUGAUCUUAAAAUAGCCCCUGCCUAGCAGUUAACCCGGGCUUUAGCAGGGAGGCACCUAACCUUCAGAUUUUCCUGGGUAAAGUUGCCAAGGUCAUAAGCUUCACAACAUUGGUAACUAAUAGGGGCGGGGGGAUAAAAGUCAAGGUCCCAUCAACAUCACUGACCACUUAUAAUGUCUUUGAAAGUUUAUCUAAAUAAAGAGAAGGAUUAUCACCCUUUGUCCUCAUCUCAGGAUAGGCAUGUACCAUUCCACCAUUGCCAUGCAUGGCAGACCACACUAAUGUGUCAUAGUACUCUUUCCAGAAAAUUCCCAACAAGGCCUCAUGAUCCUAUUAGAGCUUCAGGCACCAUUUCCAGUUUAUAGGAGUUGGCAUGAGAGAAUGAAGUCAUCAAACCCUCAACACUUGCCUUAUGGGACACAACAGCUUCCAAUUUUCCCCUCAACUGUGCCCAAAAAAAAGGAAUGAUCAGUUACCUCCUUUAUCAUCAUUGCCAAUGUUUGCUGUACCUUAGUUUAUUGAGCAAAUCUCUUCUUGUUUCAGCAAGAAAGUCAAUUCAUUCGCGGUUUAUGAUUUCUCUAUGCAUUCAUUUUAUAAUAAAGUCUAUCUCAAAGCCUUCCUGAGCACAAACAAAUAUGCUUCCAAAAGGAAGUUUUCACAAUAUUUCAGAAUGCAGAAACUAUGACUACAGUCAUGCAUCAUUUACCAAUGGGGAUAUGUUCUAAGAAAUGCAUCAUUAGGCUAUUCUGUCACUGUGUGAACACCAAAGAGUGUACUUACACAAACCUGGAUGGGAUAGCCUACUACACACCGAGGCUACAGGGUACAGCCUAUUGCUUCCAGGCUACAAACAUGUACAGCACACUGCUGUACUGAAUACUGCAGGCAAUUAUAACACAAUGGUAAGUAUCUGUGCAUCUAAACAUAGA